AACACUCUAACAAUGCCUAUGAUCUUGUUGUCAGUUCUGUUUUACUUGGGUCUUCACAGGUUGUGUGGUAUUUAACGGUGUGAACUCUUUCGGUAAAUCAAUAGGUGCUGCAUUUCAAACAGAGGUAUUCCCACACUCUUGAGAAAUGCAAUAGUUAAAAUUUGUUUAAAUAUUAUACAGGAAUCAUAUGAUUUUAUUUCUGCUUCUUUGAUAUAAUUGAAUAACUGUUAGUUUAUUCAUGUUUGGAAUAAAGCAUUGUAAAGUGAA
Molecule: long non-coding RNA, 267 nt
Organism: Mya arenaria
Lineage: Eukaryota; Metazoa; Mollusca; Bivalvia; Myida; Myidae
Exons: 2
Source: RefSeq, a predicted model, not a curated record